GAUGUUUGACAUGGGGCUGCGGAAACAGUAUCGGCCAGACAUGAUUAUUUUACAGAUCCAGAUGUACCAGCUCUCAAGGUUGCUUCAUGAUUACCACAGAGACCUCUACAAUCACCUGGAGGAGCACGAGAUCGGCCCCAGCCUCUACGCUGCCCCCUGGUUCCUCACCAUGUUUGCCUCACAGUUCCCGCUGGGAUUCGUAGCCAGAGUCUUUGGUGAGCAUUAGUAAAUCUGUUUGCUGGAACCAGCCUUCUCUUAUUAGAGGGGAAACAUUUCCUGUCUCUCCAUGGUGAUUCUUAUUUUUAUACCUGUAGCUCUUACCAGAACAGGGUAUUGUUUGAUAGUCUAAGAUUAGUCAGGGGUGGGUUUUGUGACUUUGAAGUCCUCCUUAACUUCUGAUAAUCAUGGGGCUUCCCUAGAUGCCUUCAUCUUGUGGGAUGUGGAUCUGAGUCCCUCACCAUGAGGGUCUCCCUAGAGCAGACAUUUGGAGGACUUGACUGAGGAGCCACAGGUGUAUGUUUCUCAGCCACUCUGGGUUGUGAGUGUUGACUGAUGCUGACCGUGGGCCUCUGGGCCCU
This 578-nucleotide small RNA is filed under the name Pongo abelii (Sumatran orangutan). Its description in RNAcentral is "retained intron". Lineage: Eukaryota; Metazoa; Chordata; Mammalia; Primates; Hominidae. The record is from RNAcentral.